Molecule: ribosomal RNA, 119 nt
Filed under: Pteropus alecto (black flying fox)
Lineage: Eukaryota; Metazoa; Chordata; Mammalia; Chiroptera; Pteropodidae
Source: RNAcentral
GUCUACGGCCAUGCCACCCUGAAUGUGCCCAAUCUCGUCUGAUCUUGAAAGCUAAGCAGGGGCGGGCCUGGUUAGUACUUGGAUGGGAGACCACCUAAGAAGACCAGGUGCUGUAGGCA